UAGUUUUCCAGGUAUCUACCAUCUCAAUGCAGCAGCAAGAAAAACUCAUCCACCAGGAAAGAGCAUUGUUGAACUUUACGCAAUGGAAGAGAAACCAUGACAUUCAGAUGAAAUAUUGUCAAACCUUGAUGCAAAACUCUUUCAGUUUGGGUAAUUGAUAAAGAUCAGUUGUUUUCAGUAGAAAUCCAAAUGCAUGCACUAACUCCUCAGAAAAAAACAAUGAUAUAUUUUAUUCUCUUCAAAAUUGUUCUUCAGAAUUUUAUAGUAGGGGGACAUGAUUUUGAUGCUUUUUACUCUUAUCUACUCCAAUAGUAUAGGGAAAACACUAAGUUUUCAAAAAGAAAAUGCAGCUAAACAACAGUUCUGGAAGUUUAAGUAUCUUUUCUCCUGUAAAACUGUGCCAGAUCUCUUGGUCAAAUUUUUGCUCUUUGUUCUACUUUAUGCAGUUGAUCUUCUUUUUGUGAAUACAUUCUUUCUUAAAACAAAUUCCUUCAAACAUUGAAUACUAAUGCUUACCUUUUAGUUAUGUCGAAGUCCUAAAAUAAGCAUACUGUUCAUUUACAUCCUUCUUCCAUUUUCUUCCCCUACAUGUUUUCAAAUCAUUACUGAAGUUGUACUGUUUGUUCUGUCUGCUAGACAUGAAAUAUUUCUUGCUUAACUCUCAGAAUCUGAACAUGAACUCAAGGCUUACUAUUCAAUUCAUCUAGUUAUUCAGUACACUUCAGGUUAAAUUUGAGCAGUAAGAUUAACAGGCCUGAGAUAAUAAGUGAACAAGAAAAGAUUGUAAAUAUUGUAAAUUCAAAGAAAGGAAAAGAUUGAUAAAACUGAGAAAAUCAUAUAAAUUUUUAUAGAAGAGGAAAUAUUUGGGUAAAAAUGUCUCCGAAUUACUUUUAAAUAAACCAACUCUUAGAGACCUAUUGUAGGUCAAAAGUAUUAUAUAAAUCUUACGGUUCUCAGUAUCAGAAAAACUGGAAUUGCUAAGUGCUACAUAUGGGAAUGACUAAGUGCUGCACAUGGUUAUAGUGUUUAGUUUUCCUGGAGGUGACAGAGGGUUAGUCUGGGGAGAUAUUCUACUAAUUUUUACAGUGGUGACAAUAAUGUGAAAUGUUUCUAUUCAAAGCCUGUAACUGCAGUCCUUGUUCGGACAACUGGAUUCAGAAUGGAAAGAGUUGUUACUAUGUCUCUGAUAUUUGGAAAAGUUGGCUAGCCAGCAAAGAGGCUUGUUUGAAAGAGGGCUCCAGUCUUCUACAAAUAGACAGCAAAGAAGAAAUGGUAAAUUCAGCUUUAUGGUUACAUGUCACUCUGAAAAUACUAUGUUACUUAUUAAAAGAAAGAAGAUUCUCCUAAGAUAGAAUUCUUUAAUGUUUUUAAUAGUUUAUAAAGUUCAUAAAAAUAAAUAUUUAUAAAAAUAAAUUUAUAAAAAUAAUUACUUAAAAGAUAUAAAGUAGGAAUUACUAUGCUUUAUUUUCCUUUUAAUGGGAGAAGCAAAAAUAAGGUUGCUUUUACAGAAGUCAAGGAGAGUAUAUUAGUUCUAUGUCCUUGGUUAAUGAAAAAGAAAAGACUAGACCACAAGAAAAACAGUCUUCCAUGACAUGUAGCCCACUUCAACAUACACAUACAUGAUUAUUGCAUAUAUUUUCCAAUGUAUUUCUCCAUGCUAUAGAGAAAUAGAAUAAUCUGGAAAACCAGAAGUAUAAAAAACUGAGGUGAUGUCAUGAAAUGAAUAGGUCUAAUAAAACCAAGUAUUUGGUAAAUGAAAUGUUAAGUUGAUAUUAAACAUAGUUCAGUAAUAUUUUAACAAGUGAACAAGAUAUUUCUCUAAAAUCAUUCUACACAUAAAUAUAUAUGAAACAGAAUGCAUAAUUACAACAUAUCUUUUACUACAUUAAAAACGUAUUCUGACUAUAUUUAGUAAUUAGUUGAAGCUCAUUUCUACAAGAAUAGUGAGAAAACAAUGUGUUAAGGAUAUAUGGUAAGCUAGGAAGGCUUGAACUAUUAUAAUUAUGGGUAUACAAAAUUAUUUGCUGUGUAAAUUUGAUGAUGAAAGUUAUAAAUGUUUUUUAACAAAAUAUAUUUGCAGUUACAUUGCUUCUGGAAUCUCCUAAACUAUUGGUAAUAUUGAAGUAUACUAGGAAAGAGUGAUCCACGUGUCAUAUGAUAUAAAAAAUCUUUUUACCUCUGCUUAUGAGGGGUCAGUAUAACCUACCCCCUUCCUUUUUUUUUUUUUUUUUUGUUGACAUCUAUUGUCAGACUCUGAAUCCAUUCAUUAAAAUUACUUUAAUAUCAAAUGCCUUUUUCCCAUUGUCUUUAAUACUACAUUGGUCAUACAGAAACAGAAGAAAAAUCUAUAAGAUGUAUCCCCACUUUUUUGUUUCAUUUUGUUUUUUUUAAAUAACCCCCUCUCUUUUUCUUCAGCACUAAAGUUACCAUUUAUUUCCAGCUAGGCAAAAUGUCAGAAUUCAUACUUCAUGAUAGUUUUAUUCAUGGUUUAUUUUUUUCUUGGUUCAUGUUCAGAUCUUCUCUCAUAGGUUUUUAUCACCAAAAACUUGCAGAAGCUCAAAGCAGGCUAUGCGUACUGGGUGGAAAUAUCUCAGGACGGACUUCAGGCACCUUUGCUUUGGCAAGAUGGCUCCUCUCCUUCUCCCGACCUGUAAGUCUCAGAGGAAAAUGUUGUGAGAAUAACUAGAAAGAUGAGGCAAUUCAAAGGUUAAUUUUAUUGUGCACACUGGAUUCCCUUCAGGAGACAUAUCAGCAUUUCAAUAUCACAGGCUCCUGAUUGAAAUUAAAGCUAAUGUUAUGAAGAGGUAGUUUCACAGCUUCUAAAUCUUCUUCUCAGCCCUCCAAACAUUAUCCUACAGAAAAUAAACCAAAAUAUGAGUGUCUAAAUGAGCAAUAUAACAUAAUUAUCAAGUGCAUUUUCUCUGUAUCACUUAAUGUUUAGAGCACUAAGGGAAACAGAUUGUAAUAAUUAUUAAGCAAUUAUCAUAUUGAACUUUUAAGAUAGAACUAGAGAGACUGGUGAGCAGAAUCAAGUACCCUACUACCUUGAGAAUUAAGAGUCAGGAGACAUAUACUAUCUACCACCUAUCUUUGUGUAUACAUGGCUUCCUUUUCUUCGUACACUGUUAAAAUUACAUUAACAUAUUUUUAUGGAGACAAAACUGCUGCUGCUGAAGGAGGAGGAUAAAACCACCACAGGAGGGUGCCAUAUUAAAACAAAAAGGCCUCUCUCAUGUGUUAACCUCAAAAGCAUCCUUGUCACACUCCCAUCUAACCUCAGAUAUGCUGACUUGCCUUUCCAGGUUACCAACAAAGGGACCCCAGUCAACCAACCAGCUCUGCAGAUUCCUCAAAGACAAUGUCCUUUUGUCAGAUAACUGUAACAACUGGAAAUAUUUUAUCUGUGAGAAGUGCUCAUUAAGAUGCUCUAUCUGAAAGAAUUUGCUCAAAAAGAUCUAUAACGCUGGUAUUUGAAACAGGCCAUUGAAAAACCUGCCACAAAAAGACUAAGAGCAAAUACAGAAGUACACCAGUGUAUGGGCUUUGAAACCAGCUUCCUAGAAAUCAACGCUUACUUUCAUAUUUUCACUUGGAAAUGUCUUCAACAAUUUGAAGAUUUCAGUUGACAUUGUUCAAAUUGCCAAUAACUUGAUUGGAAUUACAGAGGACCAGACACUGAUGCUCUAUGAACAAACAAGAACAUAAUUUCCUUCCCUCCCUCCCUCUUUCUCUUUUCUUCCUUCCCUUCCCUUCCCUUCUCCUCUCUUUUCCUCUCCUCUCCUCUCCUCUCCUCUCAAGGCCAUUGAGAAAAUAAAAUUUGUCUGUAAAUUGUCAGUGACUACUUGGAGAGAAUAUGUUUGAAAGUCAAUUAAUCCUCUUCAAAUAAAAUUAUCCUCUAUAUUCAAUCUCCUCUCCUCUCCUCUCCUCUCCUCUCCUCUCCUCUUCUCUCUCUCUUUCUCUCUCUCUCUUUCAGAUAGAACUAGGAGACUCCCCCCCCCUCUCUCUCUCUUCUUUUGUCCAGAGAAAGUAUAAAUAUCACGCAGAAAUCAAUAUGUGAUUGGAGGAGGUGGUCCAGUUAUAACUGAUUGAUUUUUUUAAAUAAAUAAAUAAAUGUAAAGCUUGCAGCCUGCCAAAUCUUCCUAUGCAUUUUCUAAGUUUUCAGGCAUUAUGUUGGAUUGACAGAGUAAAAGGAAAGAGAUAUGGAUUUCCAAAUUGGAAUUGAGGGGAAAAGGCUUUUCUCUGCAGUGUCACUGUUCUCUGUGUCAGGACUGCAGAGUUCCAUGGAGAAGUGAACCCCUAGAACUUGCCAGCAUCGGUUACCCAGUGAAGGAAAGCUGUGAGCUUCCUGACUCCCUCUGAGUACAUUCUCACCACUCACAAAUCGAAGGGCUCAUGUCUGAACCCCCCAGAUUAACAUACCAGUACUUUUAACUGUAUUUCUCAAUGCCCCAAAUUCUCCAUCAAAAAAUAAUAAUUGGAUUUACUUUUAAAAUUGUUGGAAGACUAAAUCAAAAAUAUAUGUAAAUUGUUGCGAAUGAUGUCCUAUAGAGUUGGAUACUGUAUCAGUGCUUGCUACUGUUAUCUGGAGUAAGCCACCAGCCACUUCUAGAUAUCAACCUCUAUGUGCAUGCUGGGCAAAACAGUCUAUUUUCCUGCUAAUGUUGCAGGGCCAUUGAGAAAAUAAAAUUUGUCUGUAAAUUGUCAGUAACUACUUG
RNAcentral lists this long non-coding RNA (4715 nucleotides) under Marmota monax (woodchuck). Lineage: Eukaryota; Metazoa; Chordata; Mammalia; Rodentia; Sciuridae. The record is from RNAcentral.